Molecule: RNA transcript, 1897 nt
Organism: Zingiber officinale
Lineage: Eukaryota; Viridiplantae; Streptophyta; Magnoliopsida; Zingiberales; Zingiberaceae
Gene name: S-adenosylmethionine carrier 1, chloroplastic/mitochondrial-like
Exons: 17
Source: RefSeq, a predicted model, not a curated record
UAUUGGAAACAAAUCCGACUCGUUUACGUCAUCGCCGAACCAAAACACAGGAUCGGGACUUGGCUGCGGCGGCGAACGUGACACACUGCUCGUAUCGCACAGUCCAUCUCAAGCUGCGGCUUUUAUCCCCGCCAGCCUCCUCCCACGCCGGCCACUUCUACAGUUCUACUCCGGUGAGCCUACGAGGCAUAGCAUAGCUCUCAUGGGUCCUCCAGUUCUUUCUACUGAUGGUGGAAGCUGCCCUUCUAACCCACCAGCUGUAUGCAGAAGUAAACUGGCUAAAUCUACAAUAGAGCUAAGGAAGCCAUUUGCUUCGGUCACCAUGAAAGAGGAACCAUUUAACUUCUUACGCACUUUAUGUGAUGGCGUGGUAGCUGGAGCUACUGCUGGAGUGGUUGUUGAAACAGUUCUUUACCCAAUAGAUACUAUAAAAACCCGGCUUCAGGCUGCUCGAGUUGGAAGCAAAAUUCAUUGGAAAGGCUUAUAUUCAGGAUUGGCUGGCAACCUGGCAGGGGUUUUACCGGCCUCUGCCAUAUUUGUGGGGAUAUAUGAACCAACCAAACAACAACUAGUGAAGAUGUUUCCAGAAAAUCUCAGUGCUGUUGCCCAUUUGACCGCUGGCGCUAUUGGUGGACUUGCUGCUUCACUUAUUCGUGUUCCAACAGAGGUUGUCAAACAAAGGAUGCAAACUGGGCAGUUUACCUCUGCACCUAAUGCUGUUCGUCUUAUUGCAGCUAAAGAAGGAAUCAGAGGCUUAUAUGCUGGUUAUAAUUCUUUUCUUUUACGAGAUCUACCUUUUGAUGCAAUUCAAUUUUGUAUAUAUGAGCAGCUCCGGAUUGGGUACAAGAUUGCAGCAAGGAGGGAAUUAAAUGAUCCAGAGAAUGCUUUAAUUGGUGCAUUUGCAGGUGCAAUAACUGGAGCUGUAACUACACCACUUGAUGUGAUGAAGACUAGAUUAAUGGUUCAGGGUUCAGCAAGUCAAUACAAGGGGCUGAUCAAUUGUGCUCAGACAAUUUUGAAAGAAGAAGGCCCAGCUGCUUUCUUAAAGGGCAUUGGACCAAGAGUAUUAUGGAUUGGCAUCGGCGGCUCAAUCUUCUUUGGCGUUCUGGAGAGGACAAAACUGUUGCUUUCCCAGAGACAUUUCGAUCAGAGAAUCAAAUCUUAGCCGUCUACAUUGCAGCAUAUUGCUGGAGUUUUCCAGCAACCGCAUCGCAGAGAUGACUAGAACUCUUCUUCCCUAGAGAUUUACAAGCAGCAGGGACUGUUUUAUCGACAUUGUUCCUAAUCAUUUCCCCUCUUGAGUAUUUUCACAAUGCUAUUAUGAUACCUCAAACACUUGGACGGCCAGAUUUGAGCUAGGGGCGCUGGUGGUCCGUUUUCGACCGUCAGAUCAUGAUGUCUCAGUUCUUAAGGAUAUUAUUAAAGGGCCGCUCGAUGAGUUGGGCUCUGUGAGCUUCCUGCGAGACCUUGAUCGAGCGAGCGAGCGAGGAUGAGCGGGAACGGAGCGAAGAAGGUAGCGGAGGUGGCGGCGAAGGCCUCUAAGUCGAUCGAUUGGGACGGGAUGGCGAAGCUUCUCGUCUCCGAUGAGGCACGCAAGGAAUUCUCGAACCUCCGCCGCGCCUUCGACGAGGUCAACCACCAAAUCCAGACCAAGUUCUCGCUGGAACCUGAACCCAUUGACUGGGACUAUUACAGAAAAGGAAUUGGUUCACACCUGGUAGAUCAGUAUAAAGAAGCAUAUGAAAGCAUUAAGAUCCCGAAGUUUGUUGACACUGUGACUCCAGAAUACAAACCCAAGUUUGAUGCUCUGCUCGUUGAGUUCAAAGAAGCAGAAAAGCAAUCUCUAGAGAGAUCAGCACAGUUGGAGAAAGAAAUUGCAGAAGUUCAGGAGAUGAAA